GAUUAGUGGCGAACGGGUGAGUAACACGUGAGUAACCUGCCCCUUACUUUCCUGGAUAACUGCUCGAAAGGGUAGCUAAUACGGGAUAUUCUGACCUGCCUGCAUGGGUUGGUUUGGAAAGGUUGUUUUUCUGGUAAGGGAUGGGCUCGCGGCCUAUCAGCUUGUUGGUGGGGUGAUGGCCUACCGAGGCUUUGACGGGUAGCCGGCCUGAGAGGGUGGACGGUCACACUGGGACUGAGAUACGGCCCAGACUCCUACGGGAGGCAGCAGUGGGGAAUAUUGCACAAUGGGCGCAAGCCUGGUGCAGCGACGCCGCGUGAGGGAUGAAGGCCUUCGGGUUGUAAACCUCUUUCGUCAGGGAACAAGGCACUGUCUUUUUGGUGGUGUUGAGGGUACCUGGAUAAGAAGCGCCGGCUAACUACGUGCCAGCAGCCGCGGUAAUACGUAGGGCGCAAGCGUUGUCCGGAACUAUUGGGCGUAAAGAGCUCGUAGGCGGCUGGUCGCGUCUGUCGUGAAAACUUCCGGCUCAACCGGGGGCUUGCGGUGGGUACGGGCCGGCUAGAGUGCGGUAGGGGUAACUGGAACUCCUGGUGUAGCGGUGGAAUGCGCAGAUAUCAGGAAGAACACCGAUGGCGAAG
Molecule: ribosomal RNA, 638 nt
Filed under: uncultured Actinomycetes bacterium
Lineage: Bacteria; Bacillati; Actinomycetota; Actinomycetes
Description: bacterial SSU rRNA
Rfam family: Bacterial small subunit ribosomal RNA
Source: RNAcentral